RNAcentral lists this long non-coding RNA (3165 nucleotides) under Podarcis lilfordi (Lilford's wall lizard). The record is from RNAcentral. Lineage: Eukaryota; Metazoa; Chordata; Lepidosauria; Squamata; Lacertidae.
AGCAUACUAGCCAGGUAUGAAAGCCUAUCAAGGCCUCAAUAAAACUCUCAUUUUUUGCUGCCUGCCUAGAACAAGGAGGCUGCCAAGCCAUAGGCAGGUCACAAAAUGUGUGAGUUGUGCUGGAAGUGCAACAGCCGAUAACAUUCAGCAGCUAACCAAGAGGCCGGUGGCAGUGUUGCUUAGUAGCAAUGAGGCACAGUGGCAUGUUCUUCAGUGAGGUAGUACAUGCUCUGAUUGGCUAUGAGGUUUUUUCUUCUGUGUGCUUGAUUGAAUGUCUCCCUGCCCUGUACAAGGCCUGAGCCCAAAAGACAAACCUCUUUCCUUUCACCUCAGAUUAUGCUCUGCUUUUGUUCACCUUGCUCAGUAACAUGCUAUCAGGAUUCUCCUCUUUGGACUCUGUCAGAGUUAUUUAAGUGACUUUACUAACAACUUGUGGGAUGAGCUCAAUUUGGUACGAGGCUAUUAUCCUUAGAUCAAUCUGGGAAAACCUUCAGACAAUGUUUUCCUUCACUCUUGCACUUGCAGAUUGGUACAGGACGCGGGUGGCGCUGUGGGUAAAACCUCAGCGCCUAGGGCUUGCCGAACGCAUGGUCGGCGGUUCGAAUCCCCGCGGCGGGGUGAGCUCCCGUCUUUCGGUCCCAGCUCCUGCCCACCUAGCAGUUCGAAAGCACCCCUAAGUGCAAGUAGAUAAAUAGGUACCGCUUUAUAGCGGGAAGGUAAACGGCAUUUCCGUGCGCUGGUGCUGGCUCGCCAGAGCAGCUUCGUCACGCUGGCCACGGGACCCGGAAGUGUCUCCGGACAGUGCUGGCCCCCGGCCUCUUAAGUGAGAUGGGCGCACAACCCUAGAGUCGGACACGACUGGCCCGUACGGGCAGGGGUACCUUUACCUUGCACUUGCAGGGUCAAUUUGAAAGGCAGAUUUGUAUGAGUGCAAGUAUGAGGUCCAGAUUGACUUGCAACCCCAUGCGGAAGGUUUGGGGGUGGGGUGUAUCUUAUGUAUCUGUAAAGCUGUAGGAACCAAGCCAAAAGGCAAGCAGGAAAAUUGCCCUUCCUGUGUUCAAGGUCAUAUUAUCUACAAUGGGGCCGUUUUUUCGCUUCCCUGUUGCAGAAAGCAUCUGCUUGUGAGCUUUCCCAUAACCUCAGCCCUCCACCAAAUUAUCUUUCAGAAUGCAAAUUGUGUGCUCUAAUAGCCUGUUCUAAUCAGAGACCCUCAAUAGCCCGCUCCCCUGUUUUUCCACAGCAGGUGGGAGAGAGAAGCAGAAUGAAUAUAGAAUGAUACAAUGAAAAAAUCUGUUAUGCACUGAUGCCAGUGAUUACAGGUCUUUGGAGCAAACAGCUGGUGCUGCCUCUGGCCUUUGAAGGGGAAAAACUAACCAGAUAAUUAUUUGCUAUAUUUCAUUGGAUCAGUUGCUUUUGCUCCAAAAUAGGGAAGUUUUCACGUUACUCAGAACUCUGCAACAUUCCAGGAGAGCUGUAUCGCCCGGUAACUUGCAUAGUUCCUUGUCCCUGGUAGCCAGUCUAGCAGAAGAUCUCAUUCCACCUAUUUUGGAUCUCCCUGGUAGGCAACCAGACAAAGGGCUCAUCCACACUUUGGUUUGACCACAGCUAUUCAGGCUGGGUUUAAAUGUCUCAGAAUCACCACAAUUGGCCAAUUUAUUGUUAUAGUUAUGUAAAAAUGCUACUAAAAGUAUACAAGGAAGCUGCCUAAUUGCAAUGGCAAAACAAAACAGAAUCCCGAAGGACAUCUCUGUGGACACCUGCUGUCUCCUACAUAAUUUGUCAGCAGUGAACACUGUUGUGAUCUUUGUUUUUCAGCCUUACAGAGGAAUGUGUGCUUUUUAAAAACAUUAAAUUCCCAGAAUCAGAUGCCGAUGUGCAUGACUUCAAAGCAGAGAACAAAGGGCAAAAUAAAGUCAACAGUGAGUGACAGGUCAGUUUCUAAUUAAUGCUUAAUUAUUUUUUUUUGGGGGGGUGAAAUAGAGAUAUAUAUUUACUACUGAAUAUAUUCAGUAGUAAAUAUAUAUCUCUAUUUCCACUCCCCCAAAAAUAGAGAUAUAUAUUUACUACUGAAUAUAUAUUCACUCGGGAUGUGGAUGGCACUGUGGUCUAAACCUUAGAGCCUAAGACUUGCUGAUCAGAAGGUCGGCGGUUCAAAUCCCCGCGAUGGGGUGAGCUCCAAUUCCUCGGUCCUAGCUCCUGCCCACCUAGCAGUUCAAAAGCAUGUCAAAGUGCAAGUAGAUAAAUAGGUACCGCUCCAGUGGGAAGGUAAACAGUGUUUCCGUGUGCUGCUCUGGUUCGCCAGAAGCGGCUUAGUCAUGCUGGCCACAUGACCUGAAACUGUCUGAGGACAAAUGUUGGCUCCCUUGGCCUAUAGAGCAAGAUGAGCACUGCAACUCCAGAGUCGUCCGCAACUGAAGUUAACGGUCAGGGGCUCCUUUACCUUUCUAUACAGUGGUACCUCGGGUUAAGUACUUAAUUCGUUCCGGAGGUCCGUUCUUAAGCUGAAACUGUUCUUAACCUGAAGCACCACUUUAGCUAAUGGGGCCUCCUGCUGCCGCCGUGCCGCCACAGCACGAUUUCUGUUCUCAUCCUGAAGCAAAGUUCUUAACCCGAGGUACUAUUUCUGGGUUAGCGGAGUCUGUAACCUGAAGCGUAUGUAACCUGAAACAUAUGUAACCCGAGGUACCACUGUAUUCAGUACUCUCUUCUUCUGUAUAGUUGACCAAAUCCCAGCUGUAUUUCAGGCAGUGUGCAUUUAUCGGAAAUGUAAUCACAAAACAAUCUUGUUGUUUCAAAAACCUUUGAGAGUAUAUGAACGGGUGGGGUGGGGUGAGGCCUCUAAUAUCAGCUGGCAAUCAGCAGGAGGAGGCUCCCUCACUUCCUUACAUGUGAUGAGUGAAUGCUUUCGGCCGUGCAAAUCAUAUGAUUCCUGUGAACAAUUUCCAGCUCACAUAGUCAAGAGAAGUAUGGCUCUGAUUUUGCUCCAUGUGAACAGAGAGUGACACCACUGCAUUCUUUCAUUUCAGAAGCGGAAGCAUGACCAGAGGCAAGUUUGUAUCUUGAUCAACAUGCCACAGAGCAUAAUGAAUGGACAACCUGCAGCCCUUGGUCUGCUUGGCCUGUGUCACCUCCUGUUGUCAUUUCCUGGGAGGAGCUGACCACCCC